UGAAUACUCCCUCCGUCCCAAAAUUCUUGUCUACGGAUGUAUCAAGUCACAUUAUAGUAUUAGAUGCAUCCGUAUCUAGACAAAUCUAAGACAAGAAUUUUGAAACGGAGGGAGUAAUUC
This is a non-coding RNA of Triticum aestivum (bread wheat), 120 nucleotides long. The record is from Rfam. NCBI's taxonomy places the organism in Eukaryota, Viridiplantae, Streptophyta, Magnoliopsida, Poales, Poaceae.